This 450-nucleotide ribosomal RNA is filed under the name uncultured bacterium. RNAcentral's name for it is "bacterial SSU rRNA". It matches the Rfam family "Bacterial small subunit ribosomal RNA", at positions 355 to 825 of the family's 1533-position model. The record is from RNAcentral.
UAGGGAAUAUUGCACAAUGGGGGAAACCCUGAUGCAGCGACGCCGCGUGAGUGAUGAAGGCCUUCGGGUCGUAAAGCUCUGUCGUAUGGGACUAACAAAAUGAAGGUACCAUGCAAGAAAGGAUCGGCUAACUUCGUGCCAGCAGCCGCGGUAAGACGAGGGAUCCUAGCGUUGUUCGGAAUUAUUGGGCGUAAAGCGGGUGUAGGCGGACUUAUAAGUCAGGUGUGAAAUCCCAGGGCUCAACCCUGGAAGUGCACUUGAUACUGCAAGUCUUGAGUGUGGUAGAGGCUAUUAGAAUUCCUGGUGUAGUGGUGAAAUACGUAGAUAUCAGGAGGAAUACCGGAGGCGAAGGCGGAUAGCUGGGCCAACACUGACGCUGAGACCCGAAAGCGUGGGGAUCAAACAGGAUUAGAUACCCUGGUAGUCCCUGAGCGGGCUGGCAAGGCGCAU